GAGGGUGUAGCUCAGUGGUAGAGCGCAUGCCUAGCAUGCGUCAGGUCCUGGGUUCAAGCCCCAGUACCUUCA
RNAcentral lists this transfer RNA (72 nucleotides) under Camelus dromedarius (Arabian camel). It matches the Rfam family "tRNA". From Rfam's summary of the family: Transfer RNA (tRNA) molecules are approximately 80 nucleotides in length. Their secondary structure includes four short double-helical elements and three loops (D, anti-codon, and T loops). Further hydrogen bonds mediate the characteristic L-shaped molecular structure. tRNAs have two regions of fundamental functional importance: the anti-codon, which is responsible for specific mRNA codon recognition, and the 3' end, to which the tRNAs corresponding amino acid is attached (by aminoacyl-tRNA synthetases). tRNAs cope with the degeneracy of the genetic code in two manners: having more than one tRNA (with a specific anti-codon) for a particular amino acid; and 'wobble' base-pairing, i.e. permitting non-standard base-pairing at the 3rd anti-codon position. Lineage: Eukaryota; Metazoa; Chordata; Mammalia; Artiodactyla; Camelidae. The record is from Rfam by way of RNAcentral. RNAcentral also lists the same sequence under 1 other name.